RNAcentral lists this ribosomal RNA (476 nucleotides) under uncultured organism. Its description in RNAcentral is "partial 16S ribosomal RNA". It matches the Rfam family "Bacterial small subunit ribosomal RNA", at positions 331 to 798 of the family's 1533-position model. The record is from RNAcentral.
GUACACUCCUGCGGGAGGCAGCAGUGGGGAAUUUUGGACAAUGGGCGAAAGCCUGAUCCAGCAAUGCCGCGUGAGUGAAGAAGGCCUUCGGGUUGUAAAGCUCUUUUGUCAGGGAAGAAACGGUGAAAGCUAAUAUCUUUUGCUAAUGACGGUACCUGAAGAAUAAGCACCGGCUAACUACGUGCCAGCAGCCGCGGUAAUACGUAGGGUGCAAGCGUUAAUCGGAAUUACUGGGCGUAAAGCGUGCGCAGGCGGUUUUGUAAGUCUGAUGUGAAAUCCCCGGGCUCAACCUGGGAAUUGCAUUGGAGACUGCAAGGCUAGAAUCUGGCAGAGGGGGGUAGAAUUCCACGUGUAGCAGUGAAAUGCGUAGAUAUGUGGAGGAACACCGAUGGCGAAGGCAGCCCCCUGGGUCAAGAUUGACGCUCAUGCACGAAAGCGUGGGGAGCAAACAGGAUUAGAAACCCCAGUAGUCCCAU